AAACGUUUUGGUCCUAGACUUACUGUUAUGUAACAUCCGCCCUACACAUGCAAGCAUCUACGCCCCAGUGCCUACGCCCACUUCAACCCGGAGCCGACAUCAGGCACACCAAGACAGGAAGCCCACAACGUCUAGCCCAUGCCACAACCACACGGAACUCAGCAGUGACCAACAUUAAAACAUAAGCCAUAAACUCAAGCUUGAUUUAGGCAGGAUACCCAGAGCCGGCCAACCCCGUGCCAGCCGCCGCGGUUACACGGAGGGCCCAAAAUAAUAAACCACGGCGUAAAACGUGACUAGAAAAGCCCUUACCACCUGGGACAACCAAAUAUAACAGCGCAGCUGUAGAAUGCAGGCGCCUUACACCACACCCAUUCCACCCCACAAAAUAAGCCCUUUUGACCUCACGAAGACUAAGACACAAACUAGGAUUAGAUACCCUACUAUGCUUAGUAGUAAACCCAGACAGACACUUUAACUAUCUGUCCGCCAGAAAACUACAAGUAACAAACUUGAAACUCAAAGGACUUGACGGUGCUCUACAUCAUCCUAGAGGAGCCUGUCCUAUAAUCGAUAACCCCCGCUAUACCCAGCCUGCCCUAGAUAAACCCAGCCUAUAUACCGCCGUCUUCAGCCCACCUUAUGAAAGAAGCCUAGUGAGCCCAAUAGUCACCACUAAAACGCCAGGUCAAGGUGUAGCUAAUGGGCAGGAAAGCGAUGGGCUACAUUUUCUACACAGAACCUAACCAGCAGCACCAAGAACCUGGUGCCAAAAGACGGAUUUAGUAGUAAAUCGAACAAACUUGUUCACUUGAAACUUGCUCUGGAGCACGUACACACCGCCCGUCACCCUCAUCAAUUAGCACCCCACAACUAAAUAAAUACCCACGCAACACCAAGAUGAGACAAGUCGUAACAAGGUAAGUACACUGGAAAGUGCACUUGGAAAA
RNAcentral lists this non-coding RNA (950 nucleotides) under Hemidactylus fasciatus (banded leaf-toed gecko). Lineage: Eukaryota; Metazoa; Chordata; Lepidosauria; Squamata; Gekkonidae. The record is from RNAcentral.